GGCUUUUGCGGGAGGUGGGGGAAGGGACAGAGCGGGCGGCAUGCUCUGUCCCUUCCCCCACCUCCCGCAAAAGCC
Molecule: non-coding RNA, 75 nt
Organism: Podarcis lilfordi (Lilford's wall lizard)
Lineage: Eukaryota; Metazoa; Chordata; Lepidosauria; Squamata; Lacertidae
Source: the annotation of a GenBank genome assembly